GAUGAACGCUGGCGGCGUGCUUAACACAUGCAAGUCGAACGGAAAGGCCCAAGCUUGCUUGGGUACUCGAGUGGCGAACGGGUGAGUAACACGUGGGUGAUCUGCCCCGCACUUCGGGAUAAGCCUGGGAAACUGGGUCUAAUACCGGAUAGGACAGUGGUUUGGAUGCCAUUGUGGAAAGUUUUUUCGGUGUGGGAUGAGCUCGCGGCCUAUCAGCUUGUUGGUGGGGUAAUGGCCUACCAAGGCGUCGACGGGUAGCCGGCCUGGGAGGGUGUACGGCCACAUUGGGACUGAGGUACGGCCCAGACUCCUACGGGAGGCAGCAGUGGGGAAUAUUGCACAAUGGGCGCAAGCCUGAUGCAGCGACGCCGCGUGGGGGAUGACGGCCUUCGGGUUGGAAACUCCUUUCGCUAGGGACGAAGCGUUAUGUGACGGUACCUAGAGAAGAAGCACCGGCUAACUACGUG
Molecule: ribosomal RNA, 467 nt
Filed under: uncultured bacterium
Lineage: Bacteria
Description: partial 16S ribosomal RNA
Rfam family: Bacterial small subunit ribosomal RNA
Source: RNAcentral